AGAACCAAGAGCUUCCUUCUGAUAAAACUUUAAGAUACAGAAAAGAUUAGCAUGGCCUCUGGGAAGGAUCACAUGCAAAUGUAUGAUGUAUCCUUUAUUUAU
Non-coding RNA from Neotoma lepida (desert woodrat), 102 nucleotides. Lineage: Eukaryota; Metazoa; Chordata; Mammalia; Rodentia; Cricetidae. The record is from Rfam.